RNAcentral lists this long non-coding RNA (618 nucleotides) under Triticum aestivum (bread wheat). RNAcentral's name for it is "long non-coding RNA (TAES_LNC011750)". Lineage: Eukaryota; Viridiplantae; Streptophyta; Magnoliopsida; Poales; Poaceae. The record is from RNAcentral.
GCCGAUAGAAAUGGAUAGUAAUAAUUCAAUCAUACAAGCUUUUUACACAUUAACCACAAAGCAAUCGAAUCAUGCAAAAAACAUAAGGACAAAAGUGGCUAAAGUCACGGCAACACUUAGAGAACUUAAUCUAAGAAUGGUAUAGAAUGAUAAUUUCUUUGAAGAUCUCUCGUCAUUUGCCAGAAAUCCUCCUGCCUGUCGCAGCCAUGUCGAAAGCUACCUUCCUCUCUAGCAGCUCCCAUGGUGGCACUUGAGAUUCGUGUUAUUCUCGAUACCGAAGAAUUGGGGGUCAGGAAUCUCCAUUGGACGAUCCUCAGCCACAAUUUCUACAUCAAAUAACUAAAUAACAGGAAUAAUAGGUCAAUAAAGUAUCAUUCAAAUAUGAAUUUCCUGUUGUCAGAGAUUGGGAAAAAAUUCAAAGAGAAGUUGAUACAAAAGCAAAUACCUCAGAUUCUGAAAGGGACAACAAAGAGAUGUCGACCCUUGUGAGUGAGAGAAUGGGCUCUCCAUCUUCCUUGGUGAAACCUCUCCAUGGGGGACAUGUUGGAUUGGAGGUUUACUGGUUGAGACCAAGGAAUCUGAAGGAAUUGGAAUAGAUCAGGCGAUACUAGUGAGCCC